AGUGCCUGCUGCUGGGCCUGUGGAGAGAAGAGGCAAACUAGGCCAGGCAGAGCACGCCUCCUCUCUUCCGCCCCUGCCCCCCGCGCUGUACUCAUAAUGCAGGCUGGGGAGGAGCCUUCCAGAUCUUACGUUCUUAUUUGAAUCUAUUUUUGUUUUUCUUUCUUGAUCCCUAGAGGAAACUGGAAGCCAGUACACAAAGCUAGAACGAUAUCAAACAGCUCAGCGGAUGACCCCGGAAGGAUGAAUCAUACGCCUGUUUCCCACACAGAAGCCGGAUUAGUCCUGGCUAGAGCACGGCAGAAGGUUUUCCUUAUAAAGGUAAUACAAUUUAAGGAGCGACCCUUUUACAAAGACUUCCAAGUUCUAGGUUGGAUUCGAAUCCACACUUUCCUUAAAUGUAGCUGCACUGAAAGUGCCUUUCAAUCAAAACAAUGCAUUGUCUGAAAACAUCUUCUGAAGUGUACGUUGGGGGUGCUGUGCUGGUUUGUAUAAGCUCGGCCUAGGGUGUGGAACUAUUAGAAGGUGUGGCCCUGUUGGAGUAGGUGUGGCCUUGUUGGAGUAGCCAUGACACUCUGGAUGUGGGCUUUAAGACCCUCGACUUAGCUGCCUGGAAGUCAGUCUUCCACUAGCAGCCUUCAAAUGAAGAUGCAGAACUCUCAGCGCCUCCUGCACCUUGACGAUGCCCUGUUCCUGCCUUGAUGAUAAUGGACGGAACCUCUGAACCUGUAAGCUGGCCCUAAUUAAAUGUUGUCCUUUAUAAGA
This is a long non-coding RNA of Mus musculus (house mouse), 762 nucleotides long. RefSeq annotates it as predicted gene 2921. The transcript has 2 exons. Lineage: Eukaryota; Metazoa; Chordata; Mammalia; Rodentia; Muridae. The record is from RefSeq and is marked validated.